GCAUUUCAUUAUGCUCUAGAUAGAUUCCAGGCAGGGAAGAUUAGGAAUUACAGCAGCAAAGCAAUUGUAAAUAGGAAAUUUAUCUUUAAAAGCCAACUAAAGUCAACUAAAUGAAAUUUCAUUAGCUCUGAGAUUGACAAUGGUUGUUUGGAGCUACUUUUGAUUAGGUUUGGCAUUGAUCAACAUGUCAGACUUGUGAUUGGUACUGUGAGUGAACCCUCUUUCAUGAGUUUUUUCAAGAAGCACAUAUAGGUUUCAGGGAAUUUCCUGUUAAAUAGGUCCACAUUAUUAUAGGUACUUUUGUAAGUUUUUAAGUUAGUUUUCAUUCUUAGCAAAUUGUAUUAAUUGUUCAUCUGUUUGUUCCCCAUUGAGCUUCUUGGAUGUUUUGAUUAGAUAUGUUUAGUUGGUGUUUUAUAUAAUUGUACAAUUAAAUUCUUGAUACUUGUUACUUUCAUUAUUCUAGAUGAUAGAUGACCUGUGCAUGUUUAUCAAUGCAUGCUAUGAAUUGGGUCAUUCAGGUCAUGGUUUGCAAAGACCUUUCCGAA
RNAcentral lists this unclassified non-coding RNA (545 nucleotides) under Hevea brasiliensis (rubber tree). Lineage: Eukaryota; Viridiplantae; Streptophyta; Magnoliopsida; Malpighiales; Euphorbiaceae. The record is from RNAcentral.